CGGAACGGGUGAGUAACACGUGAGUAACCUGCCCCCUUCUUCUGGAUAACCGCAUGAAAGUGUGGCUAAUACGGGAUAUUCGGCGCCUGCUGCAUGGUGGGUGUGGGAAAGAUAUUGUUUCGGUGGGGGAUGGGCUCGCGGCCUAUCAGCUUGUUGGUGGGGUGAUGGCCUACCAAGGCGGUGACGGGUAGCCGGCCUGAGAGGGUGGACGGUCACACUGGGACUGAGACACGGCCCAG
Molecule: ribosomal RNA, 239 nt
Filed under: uncultured bacterium
Lineage: Bacteria
Description: partial 16S ribosomal RNA
Rfam family: Bacterial small subunit ribosomal RNA
Source: RNAcentral